AUUGAACGCUGGCGGCAGGCCUAACCCAUGCAAGUCGAACGAGUGGCGGACGGGUGCGUAAUGUCUGGGAAAAUGCACGAUGGCGGGGGAUAACUAAUGGAAACGGUAGCUAAUACCGCAUACCAUCGGAUGUGCCCAGAUGGGAUUCGAGAGUAGGUGGGGUAACGGCUCACCUAGGCGACGAUCCCUAGCUGGGCUGAGCGGAUGACCAGCCAUACUGGAACUUAGAAAGGGGCCAGAUCCCUACGGGAGGAAGCAGUGGGGAAUAUUGCACAAGGGGCGCAAGCCUGAUGCAGCCAUGCCGCGUGUAUGAAGAAGGCCUUCGGGUUGGAAAGUACUUUCAGCGAGGAGGCGUUACUCGCAGAAGAAGCACCGGCUAACUCCGUGCCAGCAGCCGCGGUAAUAC
Molecule: ribosomal RNA, 406 nt
Filed under: uncultured bacterium
Lineage: Bacteria
Description: partial 16S ribosomal RNA
Rfam family: Bacterial small subunit ribosomal RNA
Source: RNAcentral